Molecule: ribosomal RNA, 411 nt
Filed under: Triticum aestivum (bread wheat)
Lineage: Eukaryota; Viridiplantae; Streptophyta; Magnoliopsida; Poales; Poaceae
Description: partial small subunit ribosomal RNA
Source: RNAcentral
AUGAAGUUCAGUUACAGAGAUGGGAUUGUGGCUCCCAAAUGCCAAAUGGGAAAACUGAGACUUCCAAAUCUAAUCCGGUUCUGGCUCCGGCUCAUUUUCACCAAAGAUGACCCAUGUGAUGCAGGAAUGAGCCGCUACCAUAACAGCCUUGAUCAUGCCGAGAACCUGCUCGGCAGUGCAGCAGGAGUCGUCGAAAACACGCCUAUUCCGCUCUUUCCAGAUGUGCCAACAACCAUAGAUUGCCACUUAAGUGUGGUAUUUGGGGAGCAGGGAGGUGACAUCAUUCCACCAAGAUGCCGGGGAGCAUCUGGAGUCAUUCUGCAGGAGGGGCGCCGCAGACAGAGCCAGCCAGUCCGUGAUCAGGAGCCAUACCUGUCGGGCAAAGGUGCAUUGCAGGAUCAGGUGACCUAG